CUAAGGGUAUUCCACAACCCGCUAAUGAUCUCACUCACAAACGAGUGCAUAGGGGAUUCCAGGCUGUUUCUAUUUUAGGAUUCUAUGCUUGCAUUUUACAACAGGUGUUUUAGAAUGUAGAAUGGUUAAGGAAUAAAGCACAGAUGUUGCUCUAACUGUA
This is a long non-coding RNA of Neofelis nebulosa (Clouded leopard), 160 nucleotides long. RefSeq lists it as uncharacterized. Lineage: Eukaryota; Metazoa; Chordata; Mammalia; Carnivora; Felidae. The transcript has 2 exons. The record is from RefSeq and is a predicted model, not a curated record.